GAUGAACGCUGGCGGCAUGCCUAAGACAUGCAAGUCGAACGAGACGGCCCAAUGAAUACUGAGUGCUUGCACGAUGUAGGAUUUGGAUUCCCGUCUAGUGGCGCAAGGGUGAGUAACACGUGGGUAAUCUACCUUUGAGUCUGGAAUAACAGUUAGAAAUGAUUGCUAAUGCCGGAUUAUAUAUAAGAUGAUACGUCAUCAUAUAUUAAAAGGAGCCUUUAAAGCUUCGCUUGAAGAUGAGCCUGCGGCGUAUUAGCUAGUUGGUGAGGUAAUGGCUUACCAAGGCGACGAUGCGUAGCCGACCUGAGAGGGUGAUCGGCCACACUGGGACUGAGACACGGCCCAGACUCCUACGGGAGACAGCAGUUAGGAAUAUUCGUCAAUGGAGGAAACUCUGAACGAGCAAUGCCGCGUGAAGGAUGACGGUCCUAUGGAUUGUAAACUUCUGUUGUUAGGGAAGAACGACCUAGGUAGGAAAUGACCUAGGAGUGACGGUACCUUUCAAGAAAGCUCCGGC
RNAcentral lists this ribosomal RNA (517 nucleotides) under uncultured bacterium. Its description in RNAcentral is "bacterial SSU rRNA". It matches the Rfam family "Bacterial small subunit ribosomal RNA", at positions 28 to 497 of the family's 1533-position model. The record is from RNAcentral.